Molecule: long non-coding RNA, 738 nt
Filed under: Nicotiana benthamiana
Lineage: Eukaryota; Viridiplantae; Streptophyta; Magnoliopsida; Solanales; Solanaceae
Description: long non-coding RNA (NBEN_LNC003968)
Source: RNAcentral
AAGUUCUCCUCUUCUACCCUAUUCACUUUGUGACCCUUUUGUUUAAAGAUUGAAACUUCACUGUUUCUUGGACUGAUACUUUACUUAAUUGGGUGUUAAUCUUUAUUUUAGGGCUGGGUGGUGUUACCAAUUGUGUUCAUUCCAUAUGAUGUUUGCCCUUUUGUGUAAAGAUUGAAACUUUACUGCUUUUCGGACUGAUACUUAGCUUAAUUGGUGUUAAUCUUGAUUUUUAGGGCUGGCUGGUGUAACCAAUUGUGUUCAUUCAUAUGAUGUUCUUACCAGAAAAUGGACCAGGUGUGUUUUCUCUACUCUCUACUUCUCUAAUUCUUCUAGGAUCUGCAGAGCUAAGCGUGUUGAAGGGAGUUCAAUUGAAUCCCUUCGUCGAAAAAUUACACUGAAAAAAUCUGGUAAAGACAAACUCCUCUAAUUCUGCUAGGAUCUGCAGAGCUAAGUGUGUUGAAGGGGGUUCAAUUGAAUCCCAUCGUCGAAAAAUUACCCUGAAAAAAUCGGGUAAAAACAAACAAUUUUUCGUGUAUAUCUCUGAAUUGUUGAAUCCCCUUGAUAGUUAAGUGUAUUCGCUUUCUAUGCAAGUUUGUAUUUUUGAAUCCCCUUGUUAAAAGGUCUGGCUAUGCUACAAUGUCACUCUUUUGUGUGACGGGGUUUAACGGAAGUUUGUAAAUUAAAUGAUGAUAGUUUCUUAAUGGUGGUGAUAUUGAUCUCAUGCUGUUUGAAUUAACC